UAGUCCACGCCGUAAACGAUGAUUACUCGGUGCUAGCGAUAUAAAGUUAGUGCCCAAGCGAAAGUGAUAAGUAAUCCACCUGGGAAGUACGGUCGCAAGAUUGAAACUCAAAGGAAUUGACGGGGGCCCGCACAAGCGGUGGAGCAUGUGGUUUAAUUCGAUGAUACGCGAGGAACCUUACCUGGGCUUAAAUGCAGUUUGACAGAUUGGGAAACCAGUUUUUCUUCGGACAGAUUGCAAGGUGCUGCAUGGUUGUCGUCAGCUCGUGCUGUGAGGUGUCGGGUUAAGUCCCAUAACGAGCGCAACCCCUAUCCUUAGUUGCCAGCGAGUAAUGUCGGGGACUCUAGGGAAACUGCCGGUGCAAACCGUGAGGAAGGUGGGGAUGACGUCAAAUCAUCACGGCCCUUACGUCCUGGGGCCACACACGUGCUACAAUGGGCAGGGUACAGAGAGCAGCCACCUCGC
Molecule: ribosomal RNA, 465 nt
Filed under: uncultured bacterium
Lineage: Bacteria
Description: bacterial SSU rRNA
Rfam family: Bacterial small subunit ribosomal RNA
Source: RNAcentral